AGCAGCCGCGGUAAUUCCAGCUCCAAUAGCGUAUAUUAAAGUUGUUGCAGUUAAAAAGCUCGUAGUUGAACUUCAGGCCUGGCUGGACGGUCCGCCUUCUGGGCGAGUACUGUCUGUGGUCGGGUCCUACCUUCUGGCGAAGCGUCAUGGUCUUAAUCGGCCGUGGCGGGGAACCAGGACUUUUACUGUGAAAAAAUUAGAGUGUUCAAAGCAGGCAGUCGCUUGAAUACAUUAGCAUGGAAUAAUGGAAUAGGACAAUGGUUCUAUUUGUUGGUUUCUAGGACCGUUGUAAUGAUUAAUAGGGAUAGUUGGGGGCAUUAGUAUUCAAUUGUCAGAGGUGAAAUUCUUGGAUUUAUUGAAGACUAACUACUGCGAAAGCAUUUGCCAAGGAUGUUUUCAUUAAUCAAGAACGAAAGUUAGGGGAUCGAAGACGAUCAGAUACCGUCGUAGUCUUAACCAUAAACUAUGCCGACUAGGAAUCGGGCGAUGUUGACAAAAUGACGCGCUCGGCA
This 512-nucleotide ribosomal RNA is filed under the name uncultured Paraglomus. Its description in RNAcentral is "SSU rRNA". It matches the Rfam family "Eukaryotic small subunit ribosomal RNA", at positions 569 to 1085 of the family's 1831-position model. The record is from RNAcentral. Lineage: Eukaryota; Fungi; Glomeromycota; Glomeromycetes; Paraglomerales; Paraglomeraceae.